Molecule: long non-coding RNA, 940 nt
Organism: Bombyx mori (domestic silkworm)
Lineage: Eukaryota; Metazoa; Arthropoda; Insecta; Lepidoptera; Bombycidae
Exons: 2
Source: RefSeq, a predicted model, not a curated record
UGUUAAAGCAUCUGCUUUAUUAUAUCAUCAAGUAUAAAACAAUCAUUUUUCAUUAUUUAUAACAAAAUAAUAAUAGAAUUGUUCGUUUUUUACCUUUCAUUUUGUAACUAUGAACAAUUUAAAUGCCGUAUAUUCAGAUAUCACAACACUAUGAUAAAAACUGAGCCAUGACACAAAUCCAAAAUUUGCCGUCCAUCUGUAGUAUAUUCUGUGACGUUAUCGAAAUGACAAAACUGGGAGGCUUAAGCUAAGACAUGUUGACGGAGAUCUACACAAUUUAAACACGGAAAUGCGGUGGGCUUAUUCCGAAAGGAAUUCCUUCCGUUGCCGCGUUGGUUGGUGGUUAAAAAGAAUUUUGAUUUAACACGAAGUUAUAAUCUUUGACAUGAAAUAUCAGCAUUCGUUUUUUUUACUCACCUCGGCGAGGUAUGAUGCAGUGCGGAUGCUGCAUUUGCAUAAAAGCGUCCAUUAUCCACAGCUUCAGCCGAAUAAAAAUCAAUAGCCAACAGGCAAAUACGCACCCGUUUGUCUACCCGCAUAAAUACAAUAGAUAUAAUUUGUUGUAUAAAAAAGCGAGCAGGCUUGUGUUAUUUUUUCUAGAAUAUUGGUUCUAGAAUUGUUUGUUUAGUAGCUCGUAACAUCACAUGACUUAAAUAGGAACGUAUCCAAUUUUAGUUCUCGGAAAUCGAAGAUAAAUUGAGAUUCAGUAGACGAUAUACAGAUGUAUAUUCAUUAUUACAAAUAUAUACGUCAUCGAGAUAAUGUUUCGUAGGUAUAAUUUUAUUGAAUGAUAAAAUGGUCAAUUAUACAUGCCUAAAUUAUACUUUUUUCAUUAUACAAAGAGCUAUAGAUAGCUUAUUAAGAUGCCACAAAAUUGGUGCUUGAUAAAGAGGAAUACAAUAUACCUUAUUCUGACAAUAAACAUGAUUUCUUAACGUAA